Molecule: unclassified non-coding RNA, 432 nt
Filed under: Hevea brasiliensis (rubber tree)
Lineage: Eukaryota; Viridiplantae; Streptophyta; Magnoliopsida; Malpighiales; Euphorbiaceae
Source: RNAcentral
AGAUUGGGUGGCUAUGAUAAGGUAUCCAUUGUUUGCCUCCAAAUAAAAUGAAUAUUAUCCAUUUUCGCUUGCAUGUUUAAUUUAUUUUUAGACUAUUAGUUGUACUUGGCAUUGGCUGCUGAAGUUAAAAACUUGAUUAUGUUUGAGCCAGAACAGAGCAUCCCACUGAUACAAUUGUGAAUGAACAACACUCACAUAUGCAUGCAUGCGCACAUGUACUCACAAGCAAGUGCACAGGCACACUGCUUGCACACAAAAGGCUAAAGUUGAUUUCAAGAAGUGAAGUCACAUAUUUAGGCCUAAUAACUAAAAGAAUCCAAUGCUUUACACAUUUUUUUUUUUAAUUUUAGCCAAUCAUUUUGAUUUUGUCAUUUUGGCACGGCCUUAUAAUAUUGGCAACAAUUUUAUCGAGUUCAGCGAGUGAGAACUGAA